GUUAAGAGGAAUGUUGUAUGGCUCGAGGUCAUGAAGAAAAUUCUUUUGCCUAAUCGUAAAAGAAUGAAAACAAAUCAUAAUUGAUCCUCGGACCAGGCUUCAUUCCCCUCAAC
Molecule: microRNA precursor, 113 nt
Filed under: Eutrema salsugineum
Lineage: Eukaryota; Viridiplantae; Streptophyta; Magnoliopsida; Brassicales; Brassicaceae
Description: mir-166 microRNA precursor family
Rfam family: mir-166 microRNA precursor family
About the family: This family represents the plant microRNA (miRNA) precursor mir-166. Animal miRNAs are transcribed as ~70nt precursors and subsequently processed by the Dicer enzyme to give a ~22nt product. In plants the precursor sequences may be longer, and the carpel factory (caf) enzyme appears to be involved in processing.
Source: Rfam by way of RNAcentral